CUUCAGGAGACUGGGGCUAAUACCGGAUAGGAAUCCUUGCUGCAUGGUGGGGGUUGGAAAGCUUCGGCGGUUUUGGAUGGACUCGCGGCUUAUCAGCUUGUUGGUGGGGUAGUGGCUUACCAAGGCUUUGACGGGUAGCCGGCCUGAGAGGGCGACCGGCCACAUUGGGACUGAGAUACGGCCCAG
Molecule: ribosomal RNA, 186 nt
Filed under: uncultured Actinomycetales bacterium
Lineage: Bacteria; Bacillati; Actinomycetota; Actinomycetes; Actinomycetales
Description: partial 16S ribosomal RNA
Rfam family: Bacterial small subunit ribosomal RNA
Source: RNAcentral